UUCUGGCAGAUUAAAACUGUGUGCCGGACGGAGACUCGAAUUAGUCCCGAGUUCGAGUCUCGGUCCGGCACACAGUUUUAAUCUGCCAGGAACUUUCAUAUCAGCUCACACUCCGUUGCAGAGUGAUAAUCUCAUUCUGAGGUGUAAUUCUAUUUUCUUUCUCGCAAUGGUUUUCAUAGAAU
Molecule: small nucleolar RNA, 182 nt
Organism: Schistocerca nitens (vagrant locust)
Lineage: Eukaryota; Metazoa; Arthropoda; Insecta; Orthoptera; Acrididae
Source: RefSeq, a predicted model, not a curated record